Carassius gibelio (silver crucian carp) is the source of this 1702-nucleotide long non-coding RNA. RefSeq lists it as uncharacterized. The record is from RefSeq and is a predicted model, not a curated record. NCBI's taxonomy places the organism in Eukaryota, Metazoa, Chordata, Actinopteri, Cypriniformes, Cyprinidae. The transcript is spliced from 2 exons.
AGCAAGGAGACAGACGGGGGCAUUUACGGUGGUCAUGGUCAGCUUUUACCUUUAAAUAUGACAGAACCAAAUGCUUGGAAAGUGGGGUGUUCUUUGGAACCUGGAAACAUACAGCAAAGAAGGAGGAGUUAAGGCUCGAGGACUGACAAACUAUUCGCUAAGGAGUCGAAGGUCCCACCCUGAGGAACACCCAUAUGCUUUCCUGACCAUUUGAGAAAGACACUGGGAUGAAGGAAAGGUCGGGACGCUUAUGCGCUGCUACACAUAUUUUCCAGCCCUCACAAAUACCAGUGGAGAUUCAUUGCAUAAGAGACAAGCUUGCACAUGGAUGCUACUGUUCUUAAAUGCACUUUAUUGAAGUACACUCUACUGUCUGUAAAUCUGUAAAAUGUUCUUUUUGCCUUUAUGUGUUCUGAUUAUUUCAAUAAUAACAAUCUCUGCAAAGUUCCAUCUUUUUGAGGUUAUAGAAAACCCCUGCAUGCCAUUAUUCCACUUUGACCUAUAUUCUUCUAGUAAGAAAAACAGGACUACUUCAGAAAGUCAUGUGACAUGCCUGCAAAAGAGUCUUGAAUAGGAGGAGCUAUUGGGGUGUCCAGUGCUGAUCACGCUUGGACCGCAUGAGCAGCUGUGUGGACAUCCUCCUGCUGCAUGGCUGACCAUAAAUCACUCACACCGAGAACUAGAGCAGCUGUCCCUGGAAGAGAUCAUGUCACCGUAAACCCAGCAUCACAGCAAAGCUGAAUACCUGUUGCAUUAAGUUUUUAACUGUUUGUUAAGGUAGCCUAUACAACAAAGCCUUUAUUAGAUUUUUUUAUGCAAACAUGUAAUUUCUUCAGAAAAUUUAGUUACUAUUUAGACAAUGGCAAGAUGCCAAACAGGAAAGAACCGAACUUAAUGGAAAAAGCUAUUACUUACGGACAUGUGCAUGUCAGCAUACCAUCCAAUGUAAAAACAUAAAUAUUUAUUUAAUCCAUGGAUGACAUUUACUGAUGUCUAUCUAUAUACAGUUGUUUUCCAACCAAAGUUAAAUUAAUCACUUUCUGGAGGAUGAUGCCAUAAGGAACUGGAUUUUUAGUUAAAUUAAACACAGGGUGGAAAUUCAAACCUAUAACAGAUUAGAGACCAAAUUAUUUAUAAAAAAAAAAAAAAAAAACAAAAAAAAAAAUCAAAUAUUUCACCAGUAAUGUUUUUUAAUAAAUUGGCAGUUUUGAAUAUUGCUUAUCGCUAAAAAUGGAAAGAUCAUAGUAAACCAAAGUAGCUUAAGUAGUUAUUAAUCACGCUAUGUACAUUUCAUUCUGAUAUUAUUGCCAUAAAGAAAUACCAUAUGCUUAAAAUGUAUAACUAUGAUAAAAGGAAUAACAGGAUCCUGUUGCUAAUGAUGAUAAACAACCAACAUUAGCAGUUCUUGUCGUUAUUAUUACUGUUGAAACUUUAGCAUGUGAGAGAACAACUUAUUUAUACGUUAAACUUAAGAACAGAGUCAUAGAAAAGCCCUCAUAGAGGUGCAUGGUGUUUGUUGUUGAACUGAAAGCAUGAAGGUGUCAGUGUUGAUACGCCUUGUCCAUUAUACUACUUUCCCUCAUGACAUAAGCAUAUACAUUUGAUUAACAUGCUCUGAAAUAAUUAUGCUAUUUCAUGCUUAAUUAUAUCCGUGCUAUAAGUAAAUGACAUGCAGUUAAAUAAAACCGUAUUAAACCAUUAA